CGAGAUUCCCCCAGUAGCGGCGAGCGAACGGGGAGCAGCCCAGAGCCUGAAUCAGUGUGUGUAUUAGUGGAAGCGUCUGGAAAGGCGUGCGAUACAGGGUGACAGCCCCGUACACAAAAAUGCACAUAUUGUGAGCUCGAUGAGUAGGGCGGGACACGUGGUAUCCUGUCUGAAUAUGGGGGGACCAUCCUCCAAGGCUAAAUACUCCUGACUGACCGAUAGUGAACCAGUACCGUGAGGGAAAGGCGAAAAGAAC
This 256-nucleotide ribosomal RNA is filed under the name Escherichia coli. RNAcentral's name for it is "partial 23S ribosomal RNA". It matches the Rfam family "Bacterial large subunit ribosomal RNA", at positions 230 to 524 of the family's 2925-position model. Lineage: Bacteria; Pseudomonadati; Pseudomonadota; Gammaproteobacteria; Enterobacterales; Enterobacteriaceae. The record is from RNAcentral.